AACGAACGCUGGCGGCAUGCCUAACGCAUGCAAGUCGAACGAACCCUUCGGGGUUAGUGGCGCACGGGUGCGUAACGCGUGGGAAUCUGCCCUUUGCUUCGGAAUAACUCAGGGAAACUUGUGCUAAUACCGGAUGAUGUCUUCGGACCAAAGAUUUAUCGGCAAGGGAUGAGCCCGCGUAGGAUUAGGUAGUUGGUGGGGUAAAGGCCUACCAAGCCGACGAUCCUUAGCUGGUCUGAGAGGAUGAUCAGCCACACUGGGACUGAGACACGGCCCAGACUCCUACGGGAGGCGGCAGUGGGGAAUAUUGGACAAUGGGCGCAAGCCUGAUCCAGCAAUGCCGCGUGAGUGAUGAAGGCCCUCGGGUCGUAAAGCUCUUUUACCAGGGAUGAUAAUGACAGUACCUGGAGAAUAAGCUCCGGCUAACUCCGUG
RNAcentral lists this ribosomal RNA (433 nucleotides) under uncultured bacterium. RNAcentral's name for it is "partial 16S ribosomal RNA". It matches the Rfam family "Bacterial small subunit ribosomal RNA", at positions 29 to 507 of the family's 1533-position model. The record is from RNAcentral.